Long non-coding RNA from Archocentrus centrarchus (flier cichlid), 575 nucleotides. RefSeq lists it as uncharacterized. NCBI's taxonomy places the organism in Eukaryota, Metazoa, Chordata, Actinopteri, Cichliformes, Cichlidae. The record is from RefSeq and is a predicted model, not a curated record. The transcript is spliced from 3 exons.
GCAGCAACAGCAGCAGCAGCUGAAGCGGCUUGUGUGGCUUUGAAACCGUGCACUGCCUCCUCGGCUCGAGCCGAGUGUCUCAAAGCCUCUCGGCCAGCUUUUGACGGAAUAACUUCUCAUACAACUAAAUGAAGCGGUUGCCUGUUGUUGUGCCCCAGACUGCUGUGGCUUUCCGCGUCAGAGCAACAACAGAGAUGUAAAGCAAGUUGCACUACCGCAUCUUCCUCUUGAUAUGCUUCUGACAUAACGAGGAGCCAAGAAGUGAGAGAGGCACUGCAGGGGAAGAUGGAAGUCCAAAGUGGUGUCCAACAGCCCGAGCCCUGCCCUCUGGGCUCUCCUCGGUCAGGGGCCAAUCAGCAGAAUGAAGUGGAUGACAGACAGAUGGAUGCCAGUGGCAGGCCUUCCACUGACAACCACAGUAAGGAUGCACAGCAAGCAACCCAAAAAGACGACAAAAAAAGCUGUGAUGCACAAAGUCCUGGGUUCAAAUCCAUUGGCCGCCUGGGACCUUUCUGUGUGGAGGCUGCAUGUUCUCCCUCUGCUUUCGUGGGUCCUCUCCGGGUAUUCCAGCUUCC